This 175-nucleotide ribosomal RNA is filed under the name uncultured bacterium. RNAcentral describes it as "partial 16S ribosomal RNA". It matches the Rfam family "Bacterial small subunit ribosomal RNA", at positions 118 to 291 of the family's 1533-position model. The record is from RNAcentral.
UGAGGAACAUGACCUUCGGCGGGGGAUAGCCGGCCCAACGGCCGGGUAAUACCGCGUACGACCAUACGGGGACAUCCCUGGAUGGUGAAAGCAGCAAUGCGCCGAUAGAGUGCCUCGCGGCCUAUCAGCUAGUUGGUGGGGUAACGGCUCACCAAGGCAACGACGGGUAGCUGGU